GACGGAGGAUGCAAGUGUUAUCAGGAAUCACUGGGCGUAAAGCGUCUGUAGGUAGUUAAAUAAGUCAACUGUUAAAUCUUGAGGAUUAACCUCAAAAUCGCAGUCGAAACUAUUAGACUAGAGUAUAGUAGGGGUAAAGGGAAUUUCCAGUGGAGCGGUGAAAUGCGUAGCGAUUGGAAAGAACACCGAUUGCGAGUGCACUUUACUGGGCUAUUACUAACACUCAGAGCCGAAGUCUAGGGUAGCAAAUGGG
RNAcentral lists this ribosomal RNA (253 nucleotides) under uncultured bacterium. RNAcentral describes it as "partial 16S ribosomal RNA". It matches the Rfam family "Bacterial small subunit ribosomal RNA", at positions 524 to 776 of the family's 1533-position model. The record is from RNAcentral.